UAGGGAAUCUUCGGCAAUGGGGGGAACCCUGACCGAGCAACGCCGCGUGAGUGAAGAAGGUUUUCGGAUCGUAAAGCUCUGUUGUUAAGGAAGAACGAGUGUGAGAAUGGAAAGUUCAUGCUGUGACGGUACUUAACCAGAAAGGGACGGCUAACUACGUGCCAGCAGCCGCGGUAAUACGUAGGUCCCGAGCGUUGUCCGGAUUUAUUGGGCGUAAAGCGAGCGCAGGCGGUUAGAAAAGUCUGAAGUGAAAGGCAGUGGCUCAACCAUUGUAGGCUUUGGAAACUGUUUAACUUGAGUGCAGAAGGGGAGAGUGGAAUUCCAUGUGUAGCGGUGAAAUGCGUAGAUAUAUGGAGGAACACCGGUGGCGAAAGCGGCUCUCUGGUAUGUAACUGACGCUGAGGCUCGAAAGCGUGGGGAGCGAACAGG
Molecule: ribosomal RNA, 429 nt
Filed under: Bacteroidota bacterium
Lineage: Bacteria; Pseudomonadati; Bacteroidota
Description: Bacteroidetes bacterium partial 16S ribosomal RNA
Rfam family: Bacterial small subunit ribosomal RNA
Source: RNAcentral